RNAcentral lists this ribosomal RNA (438 nucleotides) under uncultured Flavobacterium sp. RNAcentral's name for it is "bacterial LSU rRNA". It matches the Rfam family "Bacterial large subunit ribosomal RNA", at positions 28 to 523 of the family's 2925-position model. The record is from RNAcentral. Lineage: Bacteria; Pseudomonadati; Bacteroidota; Flavobacteriia; Flavobacteriales; Flavobacteriaceae.
AUUCCUUCGCCUUCAUAGGCGAUGAAGGACGUGGUAAGUUGCGAAAAGAUGCGGGGAUUGGCACACACGAAUGGAUCCGCAGAUGUCCGAAUGGGGCAACCCGGCAGGUUGAAGACAUGUCACUCUAAUUUUAUUUAGAGAGCAAACCCGGAGAACUGAAACAUCUAAGUACCCGGAGGAAAAGAAAUCGAAGAGAUUCCGUAAGUAGUGGCGAGCGAAAGCGGAUUAGCCCAAAAGCUAAUAUAUGUUUAAUAGAAUGUUCUGGAAAGAACAGCCGUAGAGGGUGAUAGCCCCGUAUAUGAAAGGCAUAUUUAAGUGAUAAAUGAGUAGGGCGGGACACGUGAAAUCCUGUCUGAAUAUGGGGGGACCAUCCUCCAAGGCUAAAUACUCCUGAAAGACCGAUAGUGAACAAGUACUGUGAAGGUAAGGAAAAAUGCA